UAAACCAAGCUGGUAAAAUUUCAAAACAGACUUCGCGCGGUCAAUUGCAGACAGCCCCCGCCCCUCCUCCCCUGAUUAUUCUCCGAACAAUGCUCCUCCAAUUUUGCAACCCUGGCAGCUAUCGUCAAGGCCUGAGCUGGGCGACUGAUGGUGACGAAAUCUAUAUCAGUCUCUGUUGAGCCACAAGUUUAAUGACAUUUUCCAUGUCAAAUAUCCGUCUUAUCCAGCUGCUUCAUGGUAUUUCCAGUCUAAAUAUAUAGCUGAAAUUUGAGACAUUUGGGAGUGCUGAAGCCUGCAAUUUCCUAUAUAUAUGCUUCCCUAUCUCAUAUGUUAUCAAGUUCAACUUUUUUGCAGAAGGACUUUGUUUGAGCAAACAAAGACUUUUUUGCAGAAGGAUCUAACGAGUCUGCUAAUCUUAAGGAGAUAGAACUUCUGGCUGCCUCCAUCUUAAUUCAUCUUCUUGACCAGGUAUGUAGCUACACCAAAGGUAUCCUGGUAGUAAAAAUUCCAACAAGGAUUUAUUCUGAAAGAAAAACAUUUGUCAAUCGUUUUGUACUUCUCCUUCACUUUCUGUGAACAGAGAAUGACUCAUUAAAUAUUAGCAUCUAAAUUCUUUGUCCUGCGGUUGGGAAGUAAUUACAACGAGUUUUUACAUUAAAAUGCAUCUCACAUUUGCUGUUGACGUCCUCCAUUAUCUUUCUUGUCUUAGCGCUUUCAACUAUGUACGUAAUUACUACAACCUUUUUAAUUGAAACAGUUGAUGCAUUUGGGUAGUGGAUGACCACGAUUUUGCGUUGUGCUUCUCUUUCGUCAUAGCAUACACCAUUUUUAACUCAUGACCAAGUACAUACAUUUCUAGUAGGACUGCUGUAGCUAGCAUGCCAUUUUGCUCUUUUCCAUUUCAUAACUCUGAGCUGCUGGCACUUAACUUAUAUUUUCAUCCGACUAAUUAGUUCAAUGUUAAGGAAUGAACUUAAUACAAGGUUCAUUUUAACGGCUUGUGCUGCAAAAAUACUGUUCUUAUUAGCAUGCAUAUUCAUAUUUGCAGCAUGAUUGGUCUCAAAGUAGAGCAUUUAAACUGUGAAGUAGUAGUCGGCUUAAAUUACCCUAUAUAAGAACCCUGUAGCUCAAUACUUGUUCUUUCUUCACCACAUGUUGCCUGAUUUCCUCUCCUUGCUCAAAGUCGAUUGAUAUUUUCUUGGAUCUUCCAACCACACUACUGAUAUCACUCCACCUGGUUUGAAAUGAUAGGGAUUUCCCUUUAGAACAACCUUAACAUAUUGCAGAUUAGAGGCAGUUUUUAUGUGCUCCUGCAUCAACUGGAAAAAAGAACUUAACAAUAAUAUUUCAAAUUAAGAUUAGAGUCUGGUCGUCAAAUGCUGAAAACAAAUGCAACUUGUGUGAUUAACAACACAAAGAUGCUACGUAGCUUGUGUGGUUGCAAAAAUUUUCUUUCAAGGUCAGUUUUCUUUUAAAACAGAAUCUCAGCCAAACAUCAAAUUUUCAUUUAAAGUAUUCCAAUGGUUAUAGAAAAACAAAAGUACAUUGAUUAUCAAACUGUUUUGUCAAAGGUAUUGACUUACACACUGCAUAGUUCUUAACCAAAAGGAUAAACUUUGUGUAUUUGAAAAUUUAUGGAACAAGGAUCAAACAGUUAAAAACAAAAAAAACUUCGUCAAUGGGGAUGAGAAGAGAAAGCUGUUACAACAUUUGCAGAAGCUAUAUCAAGUUGACAACAUAAAUGAUCUAAGAAGAAAAAAGAUCGCAAUAGAGAAACCCUUGAUAUGUAUAUUAAGCUGCAAUACGGAAAAAUACAUUCAAUAUUAGGCCGAGUCAGUCCCAAAGAGCACUCGACCAUAGUCCACCUAAAAGUACUAAUUAUUUGUACUUGCAUCAUGUCCAAUAUCUAAUAACUACAUCCCUAGUAUUAAUCAAUACAAAUUAAGGACAGCCGAAGUCCCAUAGCUAAUGCAAUACCAUUAUAGUUUUAUUAUGUACAGCAACCCGGAUUGAAGGCUUCUUUUCUUAUAAGUGUACUUCCUAUAAUUAGUAUGUAUGCUCUCUAAUUGCUAGAAUAUGCUUUCACUUCCACAGAUCAAUUUGACAACUCGAAGUGGAUGUGGAGGCAUAUUCCUGAUGAGCAAUUUCUGGCCUUUUGGAUUCACUGG
This 2168-nucleotide long non-coding RNA is filed under the name Theobroma cacao (cacao). RNAcentral describes it as "long non-coding RNA (TCAC_LNC002172)". The record is from RNAcentral. Lineage: Eukaryota; Viridiplantae; Streptophyta; Magnoliopsida; Malvales; Malvaceae.